RNAcentral lists this transfer RNA (72 nucleotides) under Danionella translucida. It matches the Rfam family "tRNA". Rfam says of the family: Transfer RNA (tRNA) molecules are approximately 80 nucleotides in length. Their secondary structure includes four short double-helical elements and three loops (D, anti-codon, and T loops). Lineage: Eukaryota; Metazoa; Chordata; Actinopteri; Cypriniformes; Danionidae. RNAcentral also lists the same sequence under 1 other name. The record is from Rfam by way of RNAcentral.
GGUUCUAUGAUGUAAUGGUUAGCACUCUGGACUUUGAAUCCAGAGGUCUGAGUUCAAAUCUUGGUAGGUCUU